Molecule: ribosomal RNA, 266 nt
Filed under: Achromobacter mucicolens
Lineage: Bacteria; Pseudomonadati; Pseudomonadota; Betaproteobacteria; Burkholderiales; Alcaligenaceae
Description: partial 16S ribosomal RNA
Rfam family: Bacterial small subunit ribosomal RNA
Source: RNAcentral
CAAACCGGAGGAAGGUGGGGAGGACGUCAAGUCUUCAUGGCCCUUAGGGCUAGGGUUCCCCAGUUCAUCCAAUGUAGGGGCCGAAGGGUCCACACCGCGGGAGGUAAAGCCAUUCCCAGAACCCCGUUUCUAUUCCGGAUGGCAUUUUGAAAUUGGAUUCCGGAAAUUGGAAAUCGUUGUAAUUCCAGGUCAGCAAUGUCGCGGUGAAUACGUUCCCGGGCCUUGUACACACCGCCCGUCACACCAUGGGAGUGGGUUGCACCAGA